AUAAUGCAUCUAUUUUCUAUUGGACUAGUUUGUCCAUUAUAGAAUAGUGAUUGUGUUCAUGUUUUAGAUCUUGUGUUUUUUGGUUUUCCUUUUCAAUCUUGUGAUUCUACUACCAAUUCAAAUUACCUUUUGGAUGUACUUUUCUGGUGUAUAGGAUUCUAUCAAUCUGGCAACCAUUCUCUACUAUUUAUACAGGUUAUGCACAGGCACCAGAAGUAUUUUAUGUGAGUAUUGAAGGUGGUUGGAUUUGGUAUUAGAUUGUAAAAAUAAUGGGUUUUUAGCAUAGAUGCUUCUUCAAGCCAGAUGGUAAGGUAGAGCUGGUAGAACCAGAAUAUGGUGGAGCCAUCUCUCCACAGUGCACAUUGUAGGGCCACGGAGCAGAUGGGUAUCCAAUCUAAGUGUAGUUUGAAAUCAUCCAAUCACCCUGCCAUGUUUACUUUGCAAAUCUACCAGCACACAUCUAAUUCUUUAGUUACGGAUGUACAAAGAAGCUAUUCUUCUUUAGAUAGGAUUCCUUAUAUCACAAUUUUUCCGAGGAGGAACUGAUGCGAGUUCAUGAAUAUAAUUUUGACUAUCUUGUGGGAGGAUCCUUAUAAAUUGUUUGGCAGGUCAAUCCUUCAGAUGUGAUAAUUUUGGAAGGGAUACUUUUUUCAUAUUGUUUCCAAAAAUGCUGUGAUCUAGUCUAGUUACUCAUGUAUAUGAACCAUGCAACAAAGUGGCAGCUGUAAAAGCUAAAAGACCAUCUUUACGUGCAUGAAAUCCACCCUCUCCAUAAGGGAUCUAUCUUACAACAAUUUCAGUGGAGAUUGCCAGUCUCAUUCAGUAAUUUCCAUUUUACCAUCAUCAUGGGCAAAGUAGUAACUAGUUUGUAUUUCUGUAGCCAUCAUGGGAAAGGAGAAGGUUCAUAAUAACAUU
Molecule: long non-coding RNA, 915 nt
Organism: Magnolia sinica
Lineage: Eukaryota; Viridiplantae; Streptophyta; Magnoliopsida; Magnoliales; Magnoliaceae
Exons: 8
Source: RefSeq, a predicted model, not a curated record